This 3699-nucleotide ribosomal RNA is filed under the name Triticum aestivum (bread wheat). Its description in RNAcentral is "partial small subunit ribosomal RNA". Lineage: Eukaryota; Viridiplantae; Streptophyta; Magnoliopsida; Poales; Poaceae. The record is from RNAcentral.
AUGGGUGGCGUAGCAGGCGCCAAGAAGGCGGCGGUCAUGUCAGUGUUCAUGCACGCGGAUGCCAUGGACAUGGCGCUGAUGGCGGUGGGCCUGGUGGGCGCCAUCGGCGAUGGCUUAUCGACACCGGUGAAGCUGCUCAUCACCGGCUUCAUCAUCAACGACCUCGGCAACAGCGGCCCGGAACACCUCCAGGAGUUGAGCUCCAAGAUGGACGAGAAUGCGAGGAACCUUGUCUUCUUGGCGUUGGGCAGCUGGGUCAUGGCGUUCCUAGAGGGGUAUUGCUGGUCACGGACGGCGGAGCGGCAGGCGUCGCGGAUGCGUGCACGCUACCUGGCAGCGGUGCUCCGGCAGGACGUGGAGUACUUUGACCUCAAGGUGGGGUCGACAGCGGACGUGAUUGCCAGCGUCUCCAACGACAGCCUGGUGGUGCAGGAUGUGCUGAGCGAGAAGGUGCCCAACCUGGUGAUGAACGCCGCCACCUUCGUUGGCAGCUACGCUGCCGGCUUUGCGCUAGUGUGGCAGCUAACCCUGGUGACGCUGCCUUCGAUCCUGCUCCUCGUCGUCCCGGGGUUCAUGUACGGCCGCAUCCUCAUGGGCCUCGCACGCCGGAUCAGGGAGCAGUACACGCGCCCGGGUGCCAUCGCCGAACAGGCUAUCUCGUCCGUGCGCACCGUGUGCUCCUUCGCCGCGGAGCGUGCCACCAUGGUGCAGUUCUCGGCGGCGCUCGGGGAGUCGGCGCGACUAGGGAUCAAACAAGGGCUCGCCAAGGGCAUCACCAUCGGCAGCAACGGCGUCACCUUUGCCAUCUGGGCCUUCAGCGUUUGGUACGGCAGCCGCCUCGUCAUGUACCAUGGCUACCAGGGCGGCACCGUCUCCGCGGUCUCCGCCGCUGCCGUCGUCGGUGGCCUGGCACUCGGGUCGGGGUUGUCGAACCUCAAGUACCUGUCGGAGGCGAGCGCGGCGGGGGAGAGGGUGCUGGAGGUGAUCAGGCGGGUGCCCAAGAUCGACUCGGGCAGCGACACGGGGGAGGAACUUCUCAACGUUGCCGGUGAGGUGGAGUUCAAGAACGUGGAGUUCUGCUACCCAUCGCGGCCAGAGAGCCCCAUCUUCGCCAACUUCAGCCUGCGCGUGCCGGCAGGUUGCACGGCGGCGCUUGUAGGCAGCAGCGGGUCCGGCAAGUCCACAGUGGUGGCACUGCUAGAGAGGUUCUAUGACCCGUCGGCCGGCGAGGUGGCGCUGGACGGCGUGGACAUCCGGCGGCUGCGGCUCAAGUGGCUGCGCGCGCAGAUGGGGCUUGUUAGCCAGGAGCCGGCGCUCUUCGCUACGACCAUCAUGGAGAACAUACUAGUUGGCAAAGAGGACGCCACGCCGGAGGAGGUCACCGCCGCCACCAAGGCCGCCAAUGCACAUAACUUCAUCUCCCAGCUGCCUCAAGGGUACGACACUCAGGUGGGUGAGCGUGGUGUCCAAAUGUCUGGAGGGCAGAAGCAGAGGAUUGCUAUAGCCAGAGCAAUCCUAAAGUCACCCAAGAUCCUCCUCCUUGAUGAAGCCACCAGUGCGUUGGAUACAGAGUCAGAGCGUGUCGUACAGGAGGCACUCGACCUGGCCUCCUUGGGUCGGACAACUUUCGUCAUUGCCCAUCGCCUCUCCACUAUCCGCAAUGCUGGCAUGAUUGCUGUCAUGCAGCAUGGUGAGGUCAAGGAGCUAGGCUCCCACGACGAGCUCAUUGCUGAUGAGAAUGGCCUCUACUCAUCGCUUGUUCGCCUUCAGCAGACUAGAGACUCAAAUGAGGUUGAUGAGGUUAGUGGAGCUGGCAGUACUUCCGUUGUGAGGCAGUCCAGCAGCCACGACAUCAGCAGGAGAUUCUCCUUGGCUAGCAGGUCCAGUUCAGACGGGUCAGUAGGUAAUGCUGACAGCAUUGAGGAGCCAAAGCUUCCUCCGCCAUCCUUCAGAAGGCUGCUCAUGCUUAACGCACCAGAGUGGAGGCAGGCGCUUAUGGGAAGCUUGAGUGCAGUUGUGUAUGGAGGCAUCCAACCUGCUUAUGCAUACGCCAUGGGAAACAUGAUAUCGGUCUAUUUCUUGACAGAUCACGACGAGAUCAAGGACAAAACAAGAAAGUAUGCACUCACCUUCAUCGCUCUUGCGGUGCUCUCGUUCUUGCUCAAUAUUGGACAACAUUACAACUUCUGUGCCAUGGGAGAAUACCUCACCAAGAGGGUCAGGGAACAGAUGCUCAGGAAAAUCCUCACUUUCGAGAUCGGAUGGUUCGACCGCGAUGAGAACUCCAGUGGUGCCAUAUGCUCACAGCUUGCCAAGGAUGCCAACGUUGUGAGGUCUCUAGUGGGUGACCGGAUGGCGCUGGUGACCCAGACAAUAUCUUCUGUGCUUAUCGCUUGCACCCUGGGUCUGGUCAUUGCCUGGCGUCUGGCCCUUGUCAUGAUAGCAGCGCAGCCUCUCAUCAUCGUCUGCUUCUAUGCUCGUAGUGUCUUAUUGAAGAGAAUGUCCAAGAAGUCAAUACAGGCACAAUCCGAAAGUAGCAAGCUAGCUGCUGAGUCCGUCUCCAACCUCCGUACCAUAACGGCCUUCUCAUCCCAAGAGCGCAUCUUAGGCCUCUUCAACCAUGCACAGAAUGGACCGCGGAAGGAAAGCAUCCGUCAAUCAUGGAUUGCCGGACUCGGCCUUGGCACUUCCAUGGGCCUGAUGACAUGCACAUGGGCCCUAGCCUUCUGGUAUGGUGGCAGGCUCAUGGCUGAGCACCGCAUUGCCACCAACGAACUCCUUCAGACCUACAUGAUUCUGAUAAGCACAGGGCGUGUGAUUGCUGAUGCAGGUAGCAUGACAACAGACCUAGCUAAGGGUGCUGAUGCAGUUGCUUCAGUAUUUGCUAUCCUUGACCGGGUAACAACCAUUGACCCAGACAACCCCGAGGGAUACAAGCCGGAGAAGCUCAAAGGUGAGGUGGACAUCACAGAAGUCGACUUUGCAUACCCUUCAAGGCCAAAUGUGAUCAUCUUCAAAGGAUUCUCAUUAAGCAUCCAACCAGGCAAGUCAACAGCACUGGUUGGGCAAAGUGGCUCUGGAAAGUCAACCAUCAUUGCACUUAUAGAGCGAUUCUAUGACCCUCUAAGGGGAAUGGUGAAAAUUGAUGGCAGGGACAUCAAAACAUAUAAUCUUCAAGCCCUGCGGCGGCACAUUGGCCUGGUCAGCCAGGAGCCAACACUAUUUGCAGGAACAAUCCGGGAGAACAUUGUGUAUGGCAUAGAAACGACAAGUGAGGACGAAAUUGAGAAUGCCGCAAGGUCUGCGAAUGCACACGAAUUCAUCAGCAACCUCGCGGAUGGAUAUGGUACAUGGUGUGGCGAGAGAGGUGUUCAGCUCUCAGGAGGGCAGAAGCAACGCAUUGCAGUGGCCCGUGCCAUCUUGAAGAACCCAGUAAUCUUGCUACUGGAUGAGGCUACAAGUGCAUUGGACAGCCAGUCCGAAAAGGUUGUACAGGAAGCACUUGAGAGAGUGAUGGUCAGCAGGACAAGUUUGGUCGUGGCACACAGGCUCAGCACAAUCCAAAACUGUGACCUUAUUGCCGUGCUUGACAAAGGAAUUAUUGUGGAAAAGGGCACACACUCGUCCCUCAUGUCAAAGGGUUCCUCGGGAACAUAUUAUAACUUAGUUAGUUUGCAACAAGGGGGCGACCAACACUAA